Molecule: ribosomal RNA, 135 nt
Filed under: Tetraselmis striata
Lineage: Eukaryota; Viridiplantae; Chlorophyta; Chlorodendrophyceae; Chlorodendrales; Chlorodendraceae
Description: partial Eukaryotic large subunit ribosomal RNA
Source: RNAcentral
UCAUGGUUGCCUUAGUCCGUGAGUUGGAAACGAGGCUCUGCCUCUCCUUCUCACAUCAAGGGGGGGCCUUCGGUACCCCGAUCCAGGCGGACGACACUGUCGGGCGAGAAGCGUCCCUAAGGCGGCGCAUCCGUU